CUAACGAGGAUUCCUAGAGUAACUGCGAGUGAAAUAGGAAAAAGUCCAGCGCCGAAUCUCUCACCUAUCACUGGGUGGCGAGAAAUGUGGUGUGAAGGAAAGCGAUAUUCGGUCGUUCGAAAGUUUUUCAAGUCCGUUUGAUAGCGGCCAUUACCUAUGGAGGGUGCGAGGCCUGUUUUUUGAAACGUUCGACGUUCGAUACGCGUUUUCCAUAGAGUCGGGUUGCUCGGGAUUGCAGCCUAAAUCUGGUGGUAAACUCCAUCUAAGACUAAAUAUCGAUACGAGUCCGAUAGCGAACAAGUACCGUGAGGGAAAGUUGAAAAGAACUUUGAAGAGAGAGUUCAAAAGUACGUGAAACCGCUUAAAGGUAAGCGGAGGAGCUCGGAAAGGGAGCGUCCGAUUCAGCCACGUCUAAAACGGUCGCGCGUGCCGCGAAGAGGUUGCACUCCUUACCGGGUGCUAGUACCUUCGCGUGUACGUUUCGUCGAUUGGCCGUUAGGCGCGGUGCAUUUCGGACGAUAUUUUCUGUGUCGUGACCGAUCGCGGACGUUGUUUCGCGCGUAUACGCGGGAGUAUGCUCGUUUUUGACGGGCACGCUUCAAAAGUUAACGCGUCACCGAAUGAAACAUUCAGUCCGCGAUCGACUUGGAACGAGAGACCGCGGUUGCCCGUUUUUAAAGGGCGCGUAACUCAUGUAUUUUCGGAGUGUCGGAUGACGUUACCGCGUUGUGACGGCUCAAGGGUCGUCGUCCGGUUUCGUGUACGCCGGUAUUCCGGGAUGAAGUGCGCCUUCCGUCGGUGUGGUCGACGACGUUAACAAUUUCGAUGCUUCUCCGACCCGUCUUGAAACACGGACCAAGGAGUCUAACAGGUGCGCGAAUUACUGGGUAGCUUGAAACCCAGGGGUGUAACGAAAGUAAAUCAUCGGUUUAGGCCGGAGGAAAGAUGCCGCGUUUACGGACGUGGUCGCAUUUCCGUUCUGCCGCGAUCGGAGCAAUCGCGAUGCGGUGGAAAAAGAGCGUACACGUUGGGACCCGAAAGAUGGUGAUCUAUGCCUGGGCAGGAUGAAGCC
Molecule: ribosomal RNA, 1072 nt
Filed under: Gordionus sp. BH-2011
Lineage: Eukaryota; Metazoa; Nematomorpha; Gordioida; Chordodea; Parachordodidae
Description: eukaryotic LSU rRNA
Rfam family: Eukaryotic large subunit ribosomal RNA
Source: RNAcentral